CCAAUAGCGUAUAUUAAAGUUGUUGCAGUUAAAAAGCUCGUAGUUGAACUUCGGGGUUCACCCAUUGGUCAGGCUUAAUUGUCUGUACUGGUGAGAUGAGUCUCUACCUUCUGAGGAACUUUCAUGCCAUUUAUUUGGUGUGAUUGGAAAUCAGGACUGUUACUUUGAAAAAAUUAGAGUGUUUAAAGCAGGCUAACGUCUGAAUACAUUAGCAUGGAAU
RNAcentral lists this ribosomal RNA (220 nucleotides) under uncultured Diversispora. RNAcentral describes it as "partial small subunit ribosomal RNA". It matches the Rfam family "Eukaryotic small subunit ribosomal RNA", at positions 591 to 815 of the family's 1831-position model. Lineage: Eukaryota; Fungi; Glomeromycota; Glomeromycetes; Diversisporales; Diversisporaceae. The record is from RNAcentral.